UACGUAGGUGGCAAGCGUUGUCCGGAUUUACUGGGCGUAAAGAGCGCGCAGGCGGUCGUUCAAGUCGCGUGUGAAAGCCCCGGGCUCAACCUGGGAAUUGCAUUUGAGACUGCGUAGCUAGGGUGCGGAAGAGGGAAGCGGAAUUUCCGGUGUAGCGGUGAAAUGCGUAGAUAUCGGAAGGAACACCAGUGGCGAAAGCGGCUUCCUGGUCCAGCACCGACGUUCAGGCACGAAAGCGUGGGGAGCAAACAGG
This 253-nucleotide ribosomal RNA is filed under the name uncultured bacterium. RNAcentral's name for it is "partial 16S ribosomal RNA". It matches the Rfam family "Bacterial small subunit ribosomal RNA", at positions 524 to 776 of the family's 1533-position model. The record is from RNAcentral.